ACGCUGGCGGCAGGCCUAACACAUGCAAGUCGAGCGGAAACGACAUCAUUGAAUCUUCGGAGGAUUUGUUGGGCGUCGAGCGGCGGACGGGUGAGUAAUGCCUAGGAAAUUGCCUUGAUGUGGGGGAUAACCAUUGGAAACGAUGGCUAAUACCGCAUAAUGCCUACGGGCCAAAGAGGGGGACCUUCGGGCCUCUCGCGUCAAGAUAUGCCUAGGUGGGAUUAGCUAGUUGGUGAGGUAAUGGCUCACCAAGGCGACGAUCCCUAGCUGGUCUGAGAGGAUGAUCAGCCACACUGGAACUGAGACACGGUCCAGACUCCUACGGGAGGCAGCAGUGGGGAAUAUUGCACAAUGGGCGAAAGCCUGAUGCAGCCAUGCCGCGUGUAUGAAGAAGGCCUUCGGGUUGUAAAGUACUUUCAGUUGUGAGGAAGGGUGURWMGUUAAUAGCUGCGCAUCUUGACGUUAGCAACAGAAGAAGCACCGGCUAACUCCGUGCCAGCAGCCGCGGUAAUACGGAGGGUGCGAGCGUUAAUCGGAAUUACUGGGCGUAAAGCGCAUGCAGGUGGUUCAUUAAGUCAGAUGUGAAAGCCCGGGGCUCAACCUCGGAACUGCAUUUGAAACUGGUGAACUAGAGUGCUGUAGAGGGGGGUAGAAUUUCAGGUGUAGCGGUGAAAUGCGUAGAGAUCUGAAGGAAUACCAGUGGCGAAGGCGGCCCCCUGGACA
Molecule: ribosomal RNA, 723 nt
Filed under: Vibrio sp. 13C05
Lineage: Bacteria; Pseudomonadati; Pseudomonadota; Gammaproteobacteria; Vibrionales; Vibrionaceae
Description: bacterial SSU rRNA
Rfam family: Bacterial small subunit ribosomal RNA
Source: RNAcentral